CCUACGGGGGGCAGCAGUGGGGAAUAUUGCACAAUGGGGGAAACCCUGAUGCAGCGACGCCGCGUGAGUGAAGAAGUAUUUCGGUAUGUAAAGCUCUAUCAGCAGGAACGAGACAAGACGGUACCUGACUAAGAAGCCCCGGCUAACUACGUGCCAGCAGCCGCGGUAAUACGUAGGGGGCAAGCGUUAUCCGGAUUUAUUGGGUUUAAAGGGUGCGUAGGCGGAAGGUUAAGUCAGCGGUCAAAUGUCGGUGCUCAACACCGGCCUGCCGUUGAAACUGGUCUUCUUGAGUGAGCGAGAAGUAU
RNAcentral lists this ribosomal RNA (305 nucleotides) under uncultured bacterium. RNAcentral's name for it is "bacterial SSU rRNA". It matches the Rfam family "Bacterial small subunit ribosomal RNA", at positions 338 to 660 of the family's 1533-position model. The record is from RNAcentral.